RNAcentral lists this long non-coding RNA (3425 nucleotides) under Triticum aestivum (bread wheat). Its description in RNAcentral is "long non-coding RNA (TAES_LNC006112)". Lineage: Eukaryota; Viridiplantae; Streptophyta; Magnoliopsida; Poales; Poaceae. The record is from RNAcentral.
UGGGUGGCUCGCAGCGCAGAGGCGAGCGGAUGGUAGCAUCACACAGCCUCUGGGCUUUGUGCGGUGUGGUGAGGACGAGCCCUUGUGUCCGUGCGGCGGGCGACCUCGUGCCCUCGUCGGCCGGCGGCAUCCAGCGACGGUAUGCUCGCCCCCUCCUCCAUGUAGUCCAGCCAUGAGGAACGACUCCCCGUCUCCACCUGCUUCACAAGGCCACAAGUCUACGACUAUCCUCCUAACCUUGUUCAAUCAUCAAACGUAGAAGCCACACGGCCACACGGGUACGAAAAAUAUCUCACAAGGGAUCUUUCCAUUCCAUAUUAGCAAUAUUUGAGGACGUCUUUGAUUAUGUUUUCCUCUUUAUUCUGGGAACCGCUUUUUGCUCAAUUUGCUAGCUGAUCUCUGCCAUAUACUCUGUUUUUGUUAGAAAGUUUGAUGAGCAGAUCCAUGGUUAAUUAAUCUCAAGUAGGCUUAUUCACCGCAUUUACUUUUAUUUGGUUUGAGCUAAUCAGGCCUCUACCUAACCUUCUGUUGGCAUCUUGAAUUUUUUUAUGCACACCUUCAACAAUUUAUGACAUGCCAAUGUCGAGUUAGCUCCAACAGUCCCCUCACAGAUUAUUGGAUAAACUAGCAAUUGUAUGAAACAAAUUAAAAACAACAGAAAUAUCAGUGCACUUCUUUCCGGUCAAUCAGUAGUAGCUGGUAAUAGCUGAAUCUGAGAACAUGGGGGUAAGUCUGUCAGGUAGUGUUCUUAAUUAACCUACUUUUCCCUUUUGUCAUGUCACUGGACACUGUUUACAACAAGCUACCUAUCUAUAUAAGAAAAUUCGGCUACAUAUUUGUAUAAUAAAAUUUAGCAGGUCUGCAUAAAUCUUUUAACAAUACUAAGAGAUGGUAGACAUUUCACAUGUUUUGAGGCUGGCCAUUGAUUUGGACUUGCUGAAGUCUCCCCCUGAUACUGUCAGCGUACUGCAGAACUUCGAGGGUGUGUAGGGAUAGGGACUGGCCUUUGGUAAUUAAUACUCCCUCCGUAACAUAAUAUAAGACAUUUUUGACACAUGAUACGGAGGGAGUAAUAUGUAAGGUAUAACAAUAGAGUCGUCAAAUCCUUUCUAUGGAUCGCAAUAGGUUCCACCCUUUCAUAGGUAGAAAUUUUCUUGGAAAGAUCACCAUACUUAAUUCAUGUACAAAUUAAUACCUCCGUUCCGAAAGAAGUGUCUCAACCUUAGUACAACUUUAGUAAAAAGUUGAGACACUCAUUUUGGACGGAGGGAUGAAGUUAUGGUUUUUGUGGUCCCUUUGCCCUAUCACCUAAGUUGGUGAGAAAAAACAAGCAGGAUAUAUUGACUGUAAAAGCAUGCUUGAAGCUGGAUACUACUAUCACCAUUUUAGUAUUGGAAAUAGUAUGAUGAGAAUUUCUGAAUUCCGCUUGCGUAUAUAACAAGUUCUGUAGUAAUUGUGAUGUCGAUCAUCUCUUCUAUAUAAUUAGUCACGGUAUUUGGUUUAUGAUGCACUGAAAUGGAAGUUGGGCUUACGAGAUCUACUCUAUGUGUUCGAAAACUCAUAUGUAGUCAACUUAUUGAACAUGGUAUUAAGAAACAGAAGCAACAAUAGAUAAAACACAAAGCAUGUAGCAUGGUCAGAGUGUUUUUUUGGUAAUGCAGCAUGUUUGGAGUUGAUACUGCUAGUUAUAGUACCAUUGGAAAAGUUGCACCUCUCACCCUAUCGUAUUUUGUAAUUUGCUCUUUUAAAAUUAUCUGGAUCGUCAGAGAAUGUUCCAUUAUAUAUCAUCUGAUUGGGUUGCACUAUAUGAGAUAUUAUUGUGCUAGAUCAUUAAGAUUUUCUGUUUUGUCUCUCACACUAAAUUUAUCUUAAAUGAGUGUUUUGUUUCUUGUAACCAAAGAUCCAUAAUAGAUGAUUGAUAGUGAUAAAGCUAGGGCUGAUUCAAAUAAGAAAAGUACAAAGACACAAGGCAUGUUUUGUUGUUGGUCCUGCAAUUACUAUUGUUUGCAUGUUUAAGAGAUCCAAAAUGACACCUGCUAUGAAUCUAUACAAUACUAGGACAUGUCAGCUUUUGAGGUGCUCUGAUCUAAACUUUAAUUAGCUGCAAUAUUUGAUUCUUGCAAUUUGCGAUAUAUAACUUUAUCUUCCAUAUAUGAAUGCAACCAACUAUUAUAUAUUGAACUGGAUGCAUACUUAAAAACGUAUUUAUUUGUCUGUGGUGCCUUAAAUAUACAUUCCAUACAUGUUUUGUCUCUUUUUGAAAAUGAUUAAACUGUUGCAACUUUUUAGAGCAAUCUCUGGGCUCCCCUUUACUUCCAAAAUAUUGUAAAAUAUAUGUGAUUUUUAGUCUCUUUUACAGUACCUUUUAUUGUUUUUUUGAAACGGAGGCAAAAGAUUUGCCUCACAUAUUAAAUAAGGAGAGAAGAGUUUGUUGCAACAUACACCCAAAGUACGGCAUGACAAUUAUUCUCGCAAUAAAAAGGACCCUAACUUCUUUGCCCCGGCGGUGAUCCAAAGGUUUGCCUCGUCGACAAUGGUGUUGAGUAAAGUUGGCGGAGGUGCGCUCUUAUGCCGAAACACUUGCGUUUCUCUCGUUUCAAAUGACCCACGAGACAAGCAUGGUGAUCGAGGCCUUCACUUUUCGGUUGGUGGUGCCCACGGCGCUCAUGCUCGCCCACCAUGCCUUGACUGAGUCGUACGAGCUCCACGCAGACGUGUCCAUGUCGUGUAUGAGAAAUUUCUGAAUAACCAAAUUCCACAGCCUCAGCGUGAAGCGGCACCUGAAGAAUAGAUGGGUUCCACAUUAGUACCUUCUAUUGUGACCCUUUGUAUUUAUCAAAGUAAAUAAUUUAGCCUCUCUCUCUCUCUCUCUCUGCCUUUUCUUCUUUGCUUUUCAGAGUGAUGAACAUUACGGAACUACUUCCAGUAUGGUCAACAAUAUGCAUAUACGAGGGAGUCCAGGUUCUGCAAGAGAUACAAUGCUCUUCAUUCAAAUUGAUGGAGAACAACAGCACAAAAGCAUCUCACCCUUCCAGGCGGAAGCGUGCUAGCUCUUCAGGUAGCCGCUCGAAUCGCCACCACCAUUACAAGUGGCCAGAUCAUUCUUCCUGACAUAUAACCAGACUCUAGCACAGGCAACAGCUUCCAAUGAUCUUCGCCAUAUUCCUGGACAAUGGGAGAUAAGGAGUCAUUUUUAAGAUUUCCUUUCUGCGACAAGCCAUACUCAAACAUAGGUUAUUUACAUUCCUAGAAAGUUCAAUGUCAGGGAACAUAAUUGCGCAGGACAGCCUCAUCUCUCAGAUUCUAAUGAUAGCUCAAAGUUGGCUUGUUGUAAUAUAGCUCACUCAAGUGCUCAGUGCCCUAUGCUUUUGUGGAUAUACUGCAGUCUGACCCAAGGCAGCUUCUUGCCUUUCCGUGGUGGCCAC